GAGUUUGAUCCUGGCUCAGGGUAAACGCUAGCGGUGUGCUUUAAGCAUGCAAGUAGAACGGCCCUGCUUCGGCAGGGUAGUUGCGAACGGCUGAGUAACACGUAAGAAUCUGCCCCAUGGUGGGGAAUACCCAUCCGAAAGGAUGGUUAAUACCGCAUAAGCUACAUUCAGUAACAUGAAUGUAGGAAAGCACGUAACUGUGCGCCAAGGGAGGAGCUUGCGGCCCAUCAGCUUGUUGGUAGGGUAAUGGCCUACCAAGGCUACGACGGGUAGGGGAUGUGAGAGCAUGUUCCCCCAGAAUGGGACUGAGACACGGCCCAUACACCUACGGGUGGCAGCAACUGGGAAUAGUGCGCAAUGGACGAAAGUCUGACGCCGCGACGCCGCGUGUGGGAUGAAGGCCUUGGUUGUAACCACUUUUGCCAGAAGGAGACCGACUGAGAACAAGCACCGCUAACUACGUGCCAGCCGCCGCAGUAAU
Molecule: ribosomal RNA, 481 nt
Filed under: uncultured microorganism
Description: bacterial SSU rRNA
Rfam family: Bacterial small subunit ribosomal RNA
Source: RNAcentral